Molecule: ribosomal RNA, 460 nt
Filed under: uncultured bacterium
Lineage: Bacteria
Description: partial 16S ribosomal RNA
Rfam family: Bacterial small subunit ribosomal RNA
Source: RNAcentral
CCUACGGGCGGCAGCAGUGAGGAAUAUUGGUCAAUGGACGAGAGCCUGAACCAGCCAAGUAGCGUGAAGGAUGACUGCCCUAUGGGUUGUAAACUUCUUUUAUACGGGAAUAAAGUGUUUCACGUGUGGGAUUUUGUAUGUACCCUAUGAAUAAGGAUCGGCUAACUCCGUGCCAGCAGCCGCGGUAAUACGGAGGAUCCGAGCGUUAUCCGGAUUUAUGGGGUUUAAAGGGAGCGUAGGUGGAUUGUUAAGUCAGUUGUGAAAGUUUGGGGCUCAACCGUAAAAUUGCAGUUGAAACUGGCAGGCUUGAGUACAGGAGAGGUAGGCGGAAUUCGUGGUGUAGCGGUGAAAUGCUUAGAUAUCACGAAGAACUCCGAUUGCGAAGGCAGCUCACUGGACUGCAACUGACACUGAGGCUCGAAAGUGUGGGUAUCAAACAGGAUUAGAUACCCCGGUAGUC